Molecule: transfer RNA, 67 nt
Filed under: Sphenodon punctatus (tuatara)
Lineage: Eukaryota; Metazoa; Chordata; Lepidosauria; Sphenodontia; Sphenodontidae
Rfam family: tRNA
About the family: Transfer RNA (tRNA) molecules are approximately 80 nucleotides in length. Their secondary structure includes four short double-helical elements and three loops (D, anti-codon, and T loops). Further hydrogen bonds mediate the characteristic L-shaped molecular structure. tRNAs have two regions of fundamental functional importance: the anti-codon, which is responsible for specific mRNA codon recognition, and the 3' end, to which the tRNAs corresponding amino acid is attached (by aminoacyl-tRNA synthetases). tRNAs cope with the degeneracy of the genetic code in two manners: having more than one tRNA (with a specific anti-codon) for a particular amino acid; and 'wobble' base-pairing, i.e. permitting non-standard base-pairing at the 3rd anti-codon position.
Source: Rfam by way of RNAcentral
GCCUACUUAGUUUAACAAAAACAUCAGACUGUGAUUCUGGCAAUAGGGGCUUAGCCCCUUUUAGGCA